RNAcentral lists this unclassified non-coding RNA (394 nucleotides) under Hevea brasiliensis (rubber tree). The record is from RNAcentral. Lineage: Eukaryota; Viridiplantae; Streptophyta; Magnoliopsida; Malpighiales; Euphorbiaceae.
UUAAUUCUCUUUAUACUGCUCAGUUAUAAUAUUUUUUGAGCUUUAAUAAGAUCUAUGCUAUUUCAUGUUUUUUUAAAGAGCUAAAGAUCUUGUAUUGUUGGCAUUUGUAUGCUAUGAGUUCAUAUUUAUGCAGGAAAGUGCCUUAACUUGACAUCUUACAUCUGCACAAAGCUUGUGUUAGUUGCUAUUUCAGCAAUGUACCUUUGCGCGCAUUGCAUGUGUAACAGAAUGGUAAAUUAAAUAAUUGAAACAUUAGGUUACAAACAUUACACCCUUUAUAGCUAUAAAAUCAAAACAUGUACCCCAGCCCAUUCCAUCCCUUUCCAUCUGUCCUCUUUUCUUAUUAUUUCUCAUUGUCCUGGCCGAAAUUAAGUAGGAAAGCUAACAGUUUGGA